Molecule: long non-coding RNA, 307 nt
Filed under: Lathyrus oleraceus (garden pea)
Lineage: Eukaryota; Viridiplantae; Streptophyta; Magnoliopsida; Fabales; Fabaceae
Description: Pisum sativum (pea) long non-coding RNA (PSAT_LNC005928)
Source: RNAcentral
AAAAUGGGCCUCAAGUUCAUGUCACACCAUUGCAAGAUUGGUUGGGCAAGUUAGGCUUAAAUCUGCCUAGAAAUUUCAAGUCAUGCUACCAACUUUAAAUGAAUGCAUCUCUCAAACCAUGGAUCCAAAUGAGAUGACUCCAAAGGGAGGUGAAAGGGGACAUGACAAGGUAUAAUUGUUGUGAAGAAAAUAUUUUCAAAUGAUGCCUUGAAGUGCAAGAAAACUGGCCAAGAAGUUUUGACAAAACUUAAAGAUUUUUAGACUUAUAAAUUUUUCUAAGUGUCCUAAAAAUAUGCCCUGCUUUGAC